GGAUACGUCCGAUAACGAAUACUACAUAAAAUAUCAAUUUCCGCGAACCGCGCGACAGAGCGGCGGUUCAACAGUGAUCGCGUGACCUGGAGCGCGGGAAAACGAGGAGGUGGUCGUACGAUGGGAGAGGUAAGGAGAACUCCCUUGGGCGUUGCACGAGUCCGGGGCUCCGGCCGUGGCCCCCCCGGGUCAGACGAUCCCGGCCCGGGAGCUGCGCGGUGGGCCCGAUCGAUACAACGGCGCACUGCGUCUCAGAAAUCGGGGCGACGGGCGCCGCCGCCGAGGACCAGUCUCGUCCGAGCAGUCCCGUCGACGACAGGAGCGGUCCUCCGGGCGUUGCCAUGUGCGUCGAGUUCGUGCUCUUCGUGCAGAACCUCGGGGCCCUUGUCAGGGCCACCGUGGCCAGUCUGUCUUCGGCAAACCACAGGACGAUGGUGAUAUCGGAAGCAGACGACAGCAGGGCGGAGAGAUCGAGUCGUGAGACGCCGACGAAGGUGAAGGAGUCCUAGGCCGCCUCGACCAUCGGCGGUCGUCGGAGAGAGGGGAGAAAGUAUUAGCCCGAGCAGGCAGCUCAGUGUGUUUGCAGCACCACCACAUAUCUGCGAUGCGAGCGUAGAACUAUUUGUGUACAGCGAGACGUCCAAAGUACAAUAAUAAAAACACUUCCCGUUGUUGUACUGUCCA
Molecule: long non-coding RNA, 684 nt
Organism: Ixodes scapularis (black-legged tick)
Lineage: Eukaryota; Metazoa; Arthropoda; Arachnida; Ixodida; Ixodidae
Exons: 3
Source: RefSeq, a predicted model, not a curated record